RNAcentral lists this ribosomal RNA (316 nucleotides) under uncultured eukaryote. RNAcentral's name for it is "partial 18S ribosomal RNA". It matches the Rfam family "Eukaryotic small subunit ribosomal RNA", at positions 1470 to 1796 of the family's 1831-position model. The record is from RNAcentral.
CCCUUAGAUGUUCUGGGCUGCACGCGCGCUACACUGAUGCGCUCAACGAGUUUACGAACUUGCCCGGAAGGGUUGGUUAAUCUUUUUAAAACGCAUCGUGAUGGGGAUAGAUUAUUGCAAUUAUUAAUCUUCAACGAGGAAUUCCUAGUAAGCGCGAGUCAUCAGCUCGCACUGAUUACGUCCCUGCCCUUUGUACACACCGCCCGUCGCACCUACCGAUUGAAUGGUCCGGUGAAGCCUCCGGAUUGGCGCGCACCUCGGUGCCGCCGAGAAGUUGGCUAAACCUUACCAUUUAGAGGAAGGUGAAGUCGUAACA